RNAcentral lists this ribosomal RNA (397 nucleotides) under uncultured fungus. RNAcentral describes it as "SSU rRNA". It matches the Rfam family "Eukaryotic small subunit ribosomal RNA", at positions 828 to 1228 of the family's 1831-position model. Lineage: Eukaryota; Fungi. The record is from RNAcentral.
CUUUGGUCUUAUUUUGUUGGUUUCCGAGACCGAAGUAAUGAUUAAUAGGGACGGUUGGGGGCAUUAGUAUUUAAUUGUCAGAGGUGAAAUUCUUGGAUUUAUGAAAGACUAACUUCUGCGAAAGCAUUUGCCAAGGAUGUUUUCAUUAAUCAAGAACGAAAGUCAGGGGAUCGAAGACGAUCAGAUACCGUCGUAGUCCUGACCAUAAACUAUGCCGACUAGGGAUCGGUGGGGGUUUUACAUACCCCAUCGGCACCUUAUGAGAAAUCAAAGUUUUUGGGUUCUGGGGGGUGUAUGGUCGCAAGGCUGAAACUUAAAGGAAUUGACGGAAGGGCACACCAGGAGUGGAGCCUGCGGCUUAAUUUGACUCAACACGGGGAAACUCACCAGGUCCAGA